Molecule: transfer RNA, 73 nt
Filed under: Candidatus Epulonipiscium sp.
Lineage: Bacteria; Bacillati; Bacillota; Clostridia; Lachnospirales; Lachnospiraceae
Description: tRNA-Phe
Rfam family: tRNA
About the family: Transfer RNA (tRNA) molecules are approximately 80 nucleotides in length. Their secondary structure includes four short double-helical elements and three loops (D, anti-codon, and T loops). Further hydrogen bonds mediate the characteristic L-shaped molecular structure. tRNAs have two regions of fundamental functional importance: the anti-codon, which is responsible for specific mRNA codon recognition, and the 3' end, to which the tRNAs corresponding amino acid is attached (by aminoacyl-tRNA synthetases). tRNAs cope with the degeneracy of the genetic code in two manners: having more than one tRNA (with a specific anti-codon) for a particular amino acid; and 'wobble' base-pairing, i.e. permitting non-standard base-pairing at the 3rd anti-codon position.
Source: RNAcentral
GCCUUGGUAGCUCAAAUGGUAGAGCAAUGGACUGAAAAUCCAUGUAGAACAGGUUCGAUACCUGUCUAAGGCA